RNAcentral lists this ribosomal RNA (238 nucleotides) under uncultured bacterium. Its description in RNAcentral is "partial 16S ribosomal RNA". It matches the Rfam family "Bacterial small subunit ribosomal RNA", at positions 57 to 305 of the family's 1533-position model. The record is from RNAcentral.
GCAAGUCGAGCGGCAGCGCGAGAAGUUUACUUCUUGGCGGCGAGCGGCGGACGGCUGAGUAACGCGUAGGAACGUGCCUCAAAGUGAGGAAUAACUGCCCGAAAGGGUGGCUAAUGCCGCAUAUGAUCUUCGGAUUAAAGGAUUUAUCCGCUUUGGGAGCGGCCUGCGUCGGAUUAGGUAGUUGGUGAGGUAAUGGCUCACCAAGCCGACGAUCCGUAGCUGGUCUGAGAGGAUGAUC